UGAGUGUGUCCUUCUGCUUCUGAGAAUCAAACAAUCCUUUUGCUAAGGAAGAAAAUAAGCUGGAAAGAACACUCUCAUAUUCUCUUCUUGAAGAAAGCUCUCAAUACAGCUUAUUUUAGCUACGCUUGCAUGAUGACAUUGACAUCAGGAGGUCAGUGCUGACACCGGGUUGAUAUCCGUUUUAUGAGUGAAAUGUUUUCCGAAAAUUAAAUCUCAUCUACUCAAA
Molecule: long non-coding RNA, 226 nt
Organism: Chlorocebus sabaeus (green monkey)
Lineage: Eukaryota; Metazoa; Chordata; Mammalia; Primates; Cercopithecidae
Source: RefSeq, a predicted model, not a curated record